UACGGAGGGUGCAAGCGUUAAUCGGAAUCACUGGGCGUAAAGCGCGCGUAGGUGGCUAUUUAAGUCAGAUGUGAAAGCCCUGGGCUCAACCUGGGAAUGGCAUUUGAUACUGGAUAGCUAGAGUAUGGUAGAGGUGAGUGGAAUUUCAGGUGUAGCGGUGAAAUGCGUAGAGAUCUGAAGGAACAUCAGUGGCGAAGGCGACUCACUGGCCCGUAACUGACGCUCAGGCGCGAUAGCGUGGGGAUCAAACAGG
Molecule: ribosomal RNA, 253 nt
Filed under: uncultured bacterium
Lineage: Bacteria
Description: partial 16S ribosomal RNA
Rfam family: Bacterial small subunit ribosomal RNA
Source: RNAcentral